RNAcentral lists this ribosomal RNA (446 nucleotides) under uncultured bacterium. RNAcentral's name for it is "bacterial SSU rRNA". It matches the Rfam family "Bacterial small subunit ribosomal RNA", at positions 329 to 792 of the family's 1533-position model. The record is from RNAcentral.
UGCCAGACUCCUACGGGAGGCAGCAGUGGGGAAUAUUGCACAAUGGGGGAAACCCUGAUGCAGCGACGCCGCGUGAGUGAAGAAGUAUCUCGGUACGUAAAGCUCUAUCAGCAGGGAAGAAAAUGACGGUACCUGACUAAGAAGCCCCGGCUAACUACGUGCCAGCAGCCGCGGUAAUACGUAGGGGGCAAGCGUUAUCCGGAUUUACUGGGUGUAAAGGGAGCGUAGACGGCGAUACAAGUCUGAAGUGAAAGCCCGGGGCUCAACCCCGGGACUGCUUUGGAAACUGUGUUGCUGGAGUGCUGGAGAGGCAAGCGGAAUUCCUAGUGUAGCGGUGAAAUGCGUAGAUAUUAGGAAGAACACCAGUGGCGAAGGCGGCCUGCUGGACAGUAACUGACGUUGAGGCUCGAAAGCGUGGGGAGCAAACAGGAUUAGAUACCCCGGUA